Molecule: long non-coding RNA, 455 nt
Organism: Pleuronectes platessa (European plaice)
Lineage: Eukaryota; Metazoa; Chordata; Actinopteri; Pleuronectiformes; Pleuronectidae
Exons: 3
Source: RefSeq, a predicted model, not a curated record
AUGAUGAGGUGGCAGCCUUUGUGGAAGACAUCCAAAGGAGGACCAAGCAUGUGCCAGGAAAGGGGGUUUGUGGCAGGUCUCAGCUGAAUGCAGCCAAAGAGACGAGUAAGAGGAGUAGCUCCAGCCUUGAUGAGCAGGGUAUAGAAGUAGCUGUGUGCCGACAUGGGAUUAUUCUUCGUGCUCUGAAUAUGUUCAGGCAAGUUUGAUAACCCUCUUACUAACAUCUAUUCCAAAAAGGUUUCACCCUUUCAGGACAUAUACUUGCUAACACCAUAAACUCAUCUAUUAAUCGUAAACCUAACUUCUGUCUUUUUGUCAGUUUAUUAUGUAUUGUUGACAUAAUGCUGUGAUGCAAUCCUACAGGGGUGAGAUCUUCGCUUAUCCCAUGUUCCUGCAGAAGGAAGUCUCUGCCAUCAGUCCUCCAACCUUCUUUUGCAUGGACGUUAUUUGCAAAU